UGCGAAGAGCGAGCUUCAAGCGGGAUCAGUGCCAAAGCUAACGCAUUAAGUACCCCACCUGGGGAGUACGAUCGCAAGGUUGAAACUCAAAGGAAUUGACGGGGGCCCGCACAAGCAGUGGAGCAUGUGGUUCAAUUCGAUGCAACGCGAAGAACCUUACCCGGGUUUGAAAGGCCAGUGACAACCGAUGAAAGUCGGUCUUGUAGCAAUACACACUGGUACAGGUGCUGCAUGGCUGUCGUCAGCUCGUGCCGUGAGGUGUUAGGUUAAGUCCUGCAACGAGCGCAACCCCUACAUUUAGUUGCCAUCAGGUCAAGCUGGGCACUCUAAAUGGACUGCCUACGCAAGUAGCGAGGAAGGUGGGGAUGACGUCAAGUCCUCAUGGCCCUUACAUCCGGGGCCACACACGUGCUACAAUGGCCACUACAAAGGGUUGCAGAGCCGCGAGGUGAAGCUAAUCCCAAAAAAGUGGUCUCAGUUCGAAUUGGAGUCUGCAACUCGACUCCAUGAAGCUGGAAUUGCUAGUAAUCGCUGAUCAGCACGCAGCGGUGAAUACGUUCCCGGGCCUUGUACACACCGCCCGUCAAGCCAUGGAAGCUGGGGGUACCCGAAACCGGUGCGCUAACCGCAAGGAAGCAACCGACUAAGGUAAAACCAGUGA
Molecule: ribosomal RNA, 661 nt
Filed under: uncultured bacterium
Lineage: Bacteria
Description: bacterial SSU rRNA
Rfam family: Bacterial small subunit ribosomal RNA
Source: RNAcentral